UGUAGGCGGUUUGGUAAGUCUGGUGUGAAAUCUCCCGGCUCAACUGGGAGGGUGCGCCGGAAACUGCCGGACUCGAGUACGGGAGAGGAAAGUGGAAUUCCUGGUGUAGCGGUGAAAUGCGUAGAUAUCAGGAGGAACACCGGUGGUGUAGACGGCUUUCUGGACCGUAACUGACGCUGAAACACGAAAGCGUGGGUAGCAAACAGGAUUAGAUACCCUGGUAGUCCACGCCCUAAACGAUGCACAUUUGGUGUGGGUCAUUCAGUUGAUCCGUGCCGGAGCUAACGCGUUAAAUGUGCCGCCUGGGGAGUACAGUCGCAAGGCUGAA
This 328-nucleotide ribosomal RNA is filed under the name uncultured bacterium. Its description in RNAcentral is "bacterial SSU rRNA". It matches the Rfam family "Bacterial small subunit ribosomal RNA", at positions 570 to 898 of the family's 1533-position model. The record is from RNAcentral.